AGUGGAAUUGCUGGAUCAUAUGCUAGUUCUAUUUUUAGCCUUUGAGGAACUGCCUAACUGUUUUCUAUAGGGACUGCCCAAUUUUAUAUUCCCACUAGCAAU
Molecule: microRNA precursor, 102 nt
Filed under: Marmota monax (woodchuck)
Lineage: Eukaryota; Metazoa; Chordata; Mammalia; Rodentia; Sciuridae
Source: RNAcentral